Molecule: unclassified non-coding RNA, 681 nt
Filed under: Hevea brasiliensis (rubber tree)
Lineage: Eukaryota; Viridiplantae; Streptophyta; Magnoliopsida; Malpighiales; Euphorbiaceae
Source: RNAcentral
UUGCUAUUUCUUACUUGUUCAGUGAAGGCAGAAAGAAAUCAUGUCCCAAAUACUGAAGCGUCUCAAGGUGCCACCAAACUCCGCCAGUUUAGAAGAAGCUCGCACUCGGACCUUUGAAUUCUUCCGUAUGUGCUGUAGAUCCAUCCCUCAUGUAAUGGAAAUCUACAACUUGCACGAUGUCGUUACACCAUCCCAACUCCGUUCUGCCGCCGCCGCCGAAGUUCGCAAGAAUGCCAAUAUUACUAACCCUAAGGUAAUUGACAUGCUGCUGUUCAAGGGCAUGGAAGAGUUGAUGAACAUUGUGAACCAGUCAAAGCAGAGGCACCACAUUGUUGGGCAAUAUGUUGUAGGUAACCAAGGUCUUGUUCAGGACGUCUCAGCCAAAGAUCGGGAUGCAUCCAAUUUCCUGAAAAAAUUCUAUAGCAGCAACUACUCCUAGAUCACCGUAUGAACUAUGCCAUUUGGACAUUUCUGUUGGGUAAAAUUCACAAUAAAGAUGAACAUGUUCUUGCAUCUUACAAUUGGAUGCACAUUUGUCUUUUUUUUUCUCUUUGAGUGGAAAGGAUGCUCCUAGUCAAGAAUCACCAAUUGACAAUUUCCUUUUUUUGAUUGGUAAAGGUGUUCUAUUACUAUACGGUAAGGCUCUGAGAGUAUUUACUAGGGCCACUAAUUGACAAUUAU